GCUCACAUGUGUGACCUGUGCAUGUCCUGUGUGUGUCCCAUGUGUCCACAGGUGUGUGACCCAUGUGUCCUGUGAGUGCUCAGGUGUGUGUCACCCGUGUGUGACCUGUGCGUGUCCCCUGUGCGCCCAUGUGUCUGUGCUCACAUGUGUGACCUGUAUGAGACCCGUAUGUGACCUGUGCAUGUCCCCUGUGUGCUCACAUGUGUCCCCUGUGUGUCCCCUGGGUACGAGCAGAGCCGGGGGCCCAGGUGUGCUCACCUGUGUGAGGGCACGGCCCCACAGGCACACCUGAGUUCUGUCUGUAUGUCUGCAUGUGUCUGUGCCCACGUCUGUGGGUGUCUGUGUGUCUGUCCAUGCCUGUGUGUGUCUGUACCCGUGUCUGUCUGUGCGUCUGUCUGUGCCCAUGCCCAUGUCUGUCCGUGCCCAUGCCCGUGUCUAUCCGUGCCCAUGCCCAUGUCUGUCUGUGCCCAUGCCCAUGUGUCUGUCCGUGUCCAUGCCCAUGUCUGUCUGUGCCCAUGCCCAUGUCUGUUUGUGCCCAUGCCCAUGUGUCUGUCUGUGCCCAUGUGUCUGUUUGUGCCCAUACCCAUGUCUGUCUAUGCCCAUGUCCAUGUGUCUGUCCGUGCCCAUGCCCGUGUCUGUCCGUGUCCACGCCCAUGUAUCUGUCCGUGCCCGUGCCCAUGUCUGUUUGUGCCCAUGCCCAUGUGUCUGUCUGUGCCCAUGUCCAUGUGUCUGUCUGUGCCCAUGCUCAUGCCCAUGUGUCUGUCUGUGCCCAUGCCCGUCUCUGUCCAUGCCCAUGUCCAUGUGUCUGUCUGUGCCCAUGCUCAUGCCCAUGUGUCUGUCUGUGCCCAUGCCCAUGUGUCUGUCCGUGCCCAUGCCCAUGUCUGUCCGUGCCCAUGCCCAUGUCUGUCCGUGCCCAUGCCCAUGUGUCUGUCCGUGCCCAUGCCCAUGUCUGUCUGUGCCCAUGCCCAUGUGUCUGUGCCGAUGCCCAUGCCCAUGUCUGUCCAUGCCCAUGCCC
Molecule: long non-coding RNA, 1015 nt
Filed under: Zonotrichia albicollis (white-throated sparrow)
Lineage: Eukaryota; Metazoa; Chordata; Aves; Passeriformes; Passerellidae
Description: lncRNA (ENSZALG00000001802.1)
Source: RNAcentral